UACAGAGGGUGCGAGCGUUGUUCGGAAUUAUUGGGCGUAAAGGGCGCGUAGGCGGUGCGGUAAGUCACCUGUGAAAUCUCCUGGCUCAACUGGGAGCUUGCAGGCGAAACUGCCGUGCUGGAGUGUGGGAGAGGUGCGUGGAAUUCCUGGUGGAGCGGUGAAAUGCGCAGAUAUCAGGAGGAACACCCGUAGCGAAGGCGGCACUCUGGGCCGAUACUGACACUGAGGAGCGAAAGCGUGGGGAGCGAACAGG
RNAcentral lists this ribosomal RNA (253 nucleotides) under uncultured bacterium. RNAcentral's name for it is "partial 16S ribosomal RNA". It matches the Rfam family "Bacterial small subunit ribosomal RNA", at positions 524 to 776 of the family's 1533-position model. The record is from RNAcentral.